Molecule: long non-coding RNA, 11471 nt
Organism: Numida meleagris (helmeted guineafowl)
Lineage: Eukaryota; Metazoa; Chordata; Aves; Galliformes; Numididae
Exons: 7
Source: RefSeq, a predicted model, not a curated record
AAAAAAAAAACACUCCACCCCAAAUCAACAAAGGAACCACCUGAAUCUCUCAUAUGCCUGAAUUCCCCCGAUAUUAUCAUUAAAAUCCCCUUCAACAGUGCUGCUGCUGCUGAUGAGACAUCUCUGCCAGUUUUACUACUGCAUAGUUACUGAACUUAGGGAAAAGGAAGCAAAGGAUGUUCCUGGCAAUACAAUUAAUUUUAAAACAAACUGUUUGGUAGCACAGCUAAUAAUAUUGCACUGAUAAUUCCCAUUCUGCAGAGAGCACAGUGAGCAGCUGUGCCAUUUAGCGCAAGGUACUAACUCAAAACCUGCCAGUCUUGGGCUGUGGGCAUCUGAAAAAGCAAUUCCAUCUACGUUGGACCUCUGGGCCCUAGAGUAACAUAACAAAGAUUCAGUUUGGAAAUUAUGAACAAACAGUGUAGGUUAAUGCAAUGUUUCCUUCUCUGCCCAGAGAGAUUAAGGCAAGGCUGAGUAGUUAUAACGUGUUAAUCACUGGCAACAGUGAUUCCAAAAUAAAUGGCUUUUAAGCCUCAUUUGUCUAAAUAUUUGAAAGCAUAGGAAGAGUGCUCCUCCAUCCCAUUAUUUACUUCCCAUGCUGCUGCUAAUAAAUAUCUUAUGUUUGUUGGAUGCCUUUCACAGUGGAGAGUUUGACUCCAGGAGGCUUGCAGUGGUUGUGGAUGGCGUGAAUGCAGCCAUCCCUGCAAUGCAGCCAGCCGGAAAGCUGAGAAAGUGCCAUGCAUUUCAGCAACAAGUGAACAAUUUCAGACAAAAUAACCAGAACGGGAACUUGCUCAAAGCUUCUUGUGCACUCUGUCCUGACAGUACACCAGCGUGUGCUGUACUGCUCUUGUUCUAGCCUUGCUUCCUGUUUCAGCAGCUUUAUGUUUUUUUGAAGUUAGGUGGAAACCGCUAGUUGCCUGAGAAGGCCUGGGGAGGCUCCAUUCCUAAAUGAGCACAGAUUUUGUGUUAUGCUACUCAGCACUGACUUUGGAUGUGUUGCACCCUUAUUUCCUUACAAACGGGUAUUCUGAUCCUUCCUACAGCACGUGCAGGUUUUGGUGCCUUAGGAUGGGGCCAAGUUGCCUCACUCAAGCAACUUUCACUCCUUUGGACGAUGCUUAGAUUUGGGAUGUAUCUCAGAGCUUAAUGCCUUCAUCUCCUUUAAGAGCUCAAAUUGCAAGGACCAAAUCUUCAAGGAACAUGUGUUCCCUGUGUUCCCCACAGCAGGGGGAUGGCAGCGGGGCUCCCUGUGACACCCCUGGAGUAGUACAGUUGCUCAUAAUGGCAAUGUGGGAUCAAGCUGUGUGUGGCACCUGCUGCCCUGUGCUGGCAGGCCCUGUUGCCUGAACCAUGGCUGCACGGUAACAGCGAGAGCAUCCCUCAUUUUCCUCCUUGUUUCUUUUAAAGUGAGCAUAAAUUUUGCAGCGUAUCCCUAGCAAGUAGUCACCAUGUUUGAGACUGGUGUAUUUAUUUAAUGGCCUGUACAAUUUAGAAGCUUUGUUUCAUGUAUUCAGGGUUGAAAGCCUUCCCUUGAUAAUGAUUUUUUUUUCAUGCUUUGUGUAUCGUGUUGCUGUGUGGUGCGUGCUGCUGGCUAUCCGGCUGAGUAGUGAUCCAGUCCCUCUGCUGCGCUGAGGUGCAGUGAUUCAUAAGCAUCCCACACCUACACUGAGACCAAAUUGAUUAACGUGGCACUUCCAGUCUGCAGCUAUGGUGGGGGUUGUUACAUUCUGGCUACUGGAGAAUCUACUGUGGUUGGUGCUGCUGCGAUCAGCUGAGCACGUUGCUGAUAAGAGAUUGUGGGCUUCCACCUGGAGAGGUGGUGAACUGUCAAAUAAUGAAGACAAAGUACAUGAAUUGUGCUGCUCCUGCUGUUGUGCUCUGUGUCUGUGCCACAUUGCAUCUUCCCUUUGCUAUUGCGUGUAUCGUGUCAUGCUGGUGACGCCCAGGUUUGUAACGUGGAUUUCUGGGAGGCUGAAAUAGCACUUGCAGGGCUGUUUGUACAGCUCUCUGCUGGGUCACACUCUUCGUUUUAUGAGGCAGAACUGUGGUCCUGAACCUCAGGUCGGUGUGCACCUGGGCGUGCAGGCCCUGUUUGCCCCGGGAAGAAGUGUGUGGUCUGCCCUGGUGUUCCCAGGCUAUUGAUGGGUCUGCUGGGACAGCAGGGUCACCUCUCGCUGCAGACUGCAGUGGGGAUCUGCCUUUCCCAUGGCUACCAGGGCUGAGCUCUUCAAGAGAGCCUGAAAGAAACAGCCUGUUCUCACUGAUUUCAGCUGCCUUCAGCUUCUUUGAAAAUCCCACUUCCCAUGUUUGAUGGUUACUGAUGCUGUCUCGGAUCUAAAAUUAGCAGAAGUUGCUCUUGCAAAGAGCCCCCAGGGGCUGUCUCAGUGGCUUUGCAUCAGUUAGCCGGAAUGCCAGCAUGCUGGAUGAGUGUGUGGUGUGCACCUGCAGCACUCUGUCCUGAGCAGCCCCUCCGAGCCCGCUCUCGCUGCCGCUGCUUGUUCUCUCAAUAGCGGAAUUACAAAGGCAGUUCCUGUAGUUCUGAAUGCGUACGUGCAGCUGUGCCGUCAGCAAGGAGUGUAUGUGGGUGAGCGGCUGAGGGAGUGUGAAUGAGUGAUGGAGCAGCGGUAAAUGCAGCAGAAGCUGUGGGUGGAAAGAGGAGGCUUGAAGCUGGCUCGCCCACCACUAUGUGUUCCCUACAAUGAUGUACACAAGCACAAAGAGGAGUGAGGAGUUUUCACUCCCCCAGCCUCUGGAAUUCGGGUUUGUUUCUGUCUUGGGCAUGCCUUUGUUUCUGUGAUCUCAGGGGGAAGUGCCCUGAUGCCGGUGUUUUUCCAAAGCAUGUUUGGAUUUCCCAAGCAAAUGUGCUGAGACUCCCAUGGCACAGCGUGUCUCACUAGGCUCCCUGCUGGGUAAUCAUAGAAUCAUAGAAUGUUUUGGGUUGGAAGGGACCUCAAAUAUCAUCCAUUUCCAACCUCCCUGCCAUGGGCAGGGUUGCCACCCACUAGAUCAGGCUGCCCAUGGCCCCAUCCAGCCUGGCCUUGAGCGCCUCCAGGGAUGGGGCAUCCACAACCUCACUGGGCAGCCUGUGCCAGUGCCUCACCACCCUCUGAGUAAGGAGUGCUUGGUGGUGUGAGAGCCGCUGAGUGACUGAGUCAGGUGUCCCAGUAUCCUGAAGCCAGAAGCAUUCAGCAAACAGACCCAUCAGUGUGGCACAAUGGACACGCAGUUGUUUCAUUGUCUGUUGAGUUUGGAAGUCAGUAUCUGGGGCCUGUCCCUGUUAAAAGGGAGCUCUCCAGUCCUGAGAUGGUUUUGUGUUGCUCCUGGCUGCAGCUGGGUGUGCAGAAUGGUAAGGGAAGAGAUUAAAAAUAAACCCUCAACCUCAGUGUUAGCUGCCUUGCCAUGGGGGUGGAUGCGUCCUUCAUGCCCGCUGGGAGGGCGGCUGGGCAGGAGGAGAAACGUGCGGGUGUGAUAUUGGCAUCUCUUCCUCCAGGCAUGUACUGAGCUUAGAUGGCAGGGGGCAGUGGCUGAGCUGUGCCUCAUGCAGGUGUGCAGCACUGGAUCAGGGCAGAGGAGGAGAGAGGCAGCCAUGGUGCAGAUCUCUGGGGUUGGGGGUUUGCGCUCUUUCCCAUAGCUGAGAAAAAUAACUUGCAGUAGCCCUAUCUACUCUCAUUAGGUUUGAUUGUGUGUGCGGUGGGGAAAAUAGCAAUGCAAAAUGCAACAAACCAAAUACCCAACAUGUACUCCAGGUGGCAGCUCUUUCAUAGCCCCUGGGCUGCACUGAGGAGUGCCCUCCCAGGGGCAUAGCAGCUUCCUCUUGAUCUGUGUUGAUACCGGAGCAAUAGGCCCGCGCUCUCCUGGACAUAAUUCAGCCCACGUGACUUGUCAGGAAUGCUAUUACCUUUCGCACUGCUAUUUUGCUGAAAUAUAAGGGGGCUGCUUAAAUGAGCCAGCUGUAGCUGUGUGUAAACUGGUGGGGCUUUGCUCAGCUCCAGCUGGAUGGGGGCCAGAUGGGCUAUGCAGGUCACAUUGCUGCUUUUCCUCGGUAGUGCCAUAAGCACUUUAAAUUAUGAGUUUGUGCAAUUACAACUGUUAAUCUGUGUUACUUCGUGUGAGUUAGAUGUCUUAGGUUCAAAGGUGAACGAUAGACCGGUCAUCCCACAAAAAGAGCGAUGGCAGGGUGACAGUGACCACCAGGUCUGGGUAACUUAGCACAUCUCCUGCCUGAAGCCUUGGAGCUGCAAAUGGGAAGCUAUUUUGUCCCUACCAUUGAAACGUCAGAAAUUUGUCACUGUUCCAGCCUUCAUCCAAUUAACUGUGGCCCUAAAGGGGGACUGAUGGCCACUCAGUCACUGUUCCGGAAAGGAAACGCAGAGAGAACAUCCCAGCACAAGGGGUAUGUAAGCCCUGGGUCCCAUGCAGGGGUUAAGCCAUCUUGUUUAGGUGGGGAAGGAAGCCUGUUUUGCAUCCACCAAUUAUGCGCUUACCUUGUUUUGCAACACGCCGCUGCCCCAGCUCCCCUUACAGGGCCGAGCAGUUGGGUUGUGCAGCACUGGGCUACAGGGAGAGCUACUUGCUGUUUUGAGGGAGCUGUUGCCUGGUGGGGUGGGGAUGGAAGAAGCAGAAGUGUGGCUUUCCCUGAGGCUAUACUGGGAAACCAACUUGUGCUCUAGAAAGCUCCUGUUGUUGGAGUCCUGCUCUCAGAUUAAUUCUGCAAAUGGUAUAUGUGUUUUUACUUUGCCAUGCCUCCAGCGUGCAGUUUUGUUUAUAGCACGUAUUCUUGCAAGGCAUACAAGGAGUCACAAGUGUGACAUCCAUAUGUAAAAUGGGCAAAGGAAAUGGGAACUGAAUUCAGAUCAACAUUCAGAAUGUGGAAUGUUGAUAAUGAUACUUCUGCUAAAAAUAAAUAAAUAAAUGAGGUAACUCAUAUCGUGUGACAGGAAGGGAGCUUGGUGCUCACCCUCACUCAGCAGGACACACCGACAGAAAGUACCCAAGGACAGAUGGUCCUGCUGAGAGUUUUUUGGUGCGUCUUUCCUCCAAGGCUCCUCUCACAAUGCAUUUGUGUCUUGUAAACUUCUACUUUAUGCGGGCAGGAGACAAUAAGGAUUUAUGUGGCAGUGAAAUGACCAGAACGGGACGCUGCCUCCUUCUUUUCUUUUCUUUUGCUCUGCUCUUACCUUCAUCUCAUGUUGAAAAAAUCUUCGGUCACUUUUGCCACAAGAGAUGGAUUAUGCUCUUGUGAUUCCUCCUUCCCGUCCUUUCAGCAGAUUGCUGCAUGCUCUGCAUAGGUGGCAGCAGUAAGCUUAAUUCUCGCUGGUAGAGGUUUUCCACACAUUAUUUUGUUUGUUCAGACAAUGAUGCGGUUCAGAUAUCCCAUAUGAGCAUGUCUUGUUCCACUUGCAUCUGCAAACAACCGCAGCUAACACGUGUAUUUUUCACUUUUGAAUUCCGCUUGGCACUGCUGACCGUACCAACCAGAGGUGUCCGUGCCGGGUGCUCUCUUCCCGUGGUUUGUUGCCUACGUGGGACCUCUGCUGUCCUUGUGUGGGGACAGAGCGGAGGGGAGCACUGAGACCUGAGCACUCAGCUCCUGGUCUGUGCCAUCUGUACGAAGCGGCUGAUCCAAGCUUUCCUAACACUUGUAGAGAGCUGGUGGUGACGCUGGAAUAGGCCGUCUGCUUCCUGGUACUAGGAGCCCAGCGCCAGGUGACCGUCACUUCCCCAGGCCUGCUUUCUGUCUUCACCGAACUCUUCCUUCUCUCUUCACGUAGCUCUGUGUUUUGAUCACUGUUUUGAUCACUGAUGCCUAACGCAUCAACAUUGCAGUGAGGCACAGUACAUCCCAAAACCUCACUGGGGAUGGCUCAUCGUGAGGCUGCUUCUGGAACGACUCACCUCAGAGUGGCGCAGCGGGAAGGCCGAAGGGAGCCAGGCCGAGUGCUGGCUGGGCACACCAAGGGGACAGGCAGUCGGUCUGCACGGCUCCGCGCUCCUGCAUCAGCAGCCCCUCCAGGUCUGUCAGGGCAGCUCUCGUCAUUUGCUCCUGCUCUGCUCACAGUAGAGAUCUCCAACCAAGGCUAAAAUGAAUCUCCUGCAAUACUUAAAUUCCUGCAAGCGUUAUAGGUUCUUUCAGAAAACAAAGGCAGGGCAUCAGUUUUAUUCUUGUUUUGCUGUGUUUCGUACUACUGUUGCCGCACUGCUCGUAGGGUGAGCAUCCAGCAAGGGCACGCUGCACCCUUGUGGACGGCAUGCUGCGUCUGAGCCAUGGGUUGCCUCGCAGAUAGCGGCAAACACUCGAGCACUGAUUGUUCAGUGCAAGCUCCUCUGCAGCGAGGCGUGUCCCAGCAGAGCCAGCCAUGUCCCUGUGAGGUCAGCGCUCUGGCACCAGCUGUGGCUUGCUGAUCACUGAUGUCACCGAGAACCUGCUUGGAUUGUUUUCUUUCUCUUGCACGUUAUCAUGCUUAAAAUACUUACGUUGAAUGGAUUACUGGUUGAGUUCAUGGAAUACAUACUGAUAGCUGGAAGGGUAGAGUGGUGGUACGUUGCUGAUCAGUCAAUUAGUGAAUCUUUUAGCUUACAAUGAAGAUAAUGUUGUAGAGCACCUACAACGGGAAUCUUGUGUCAGCUGGGCUUCUAGGUUCCUGUGAUUUGGUUCACAGUCCAUGCACUGCUAAAAUGAGACUCGGUGUUUCCUGUUAGUAAAGCACAUUUGGUUAUCAGAACUUCAGGACUUCCUUUGUGUCAGAACAUCUUAGUGAUGAGCCUUGACAGUAAAGGUUCUGUAUAUCAACAACUGUAUAGCUGAGAUAUUGAACGUAAGUUAUCAAAAGGCUUUUUGCUCUCCAUUAAAAGGCCAGCAGUCAGAGGAGGCACAGAACUGUUGGUGUCAAAUCCUCCCCCAGCUGAGCAUCAGAGUGAUGAAGGGGAGCAAAUCUCAGGCGUUGCAAGCAUUUCUUCCCUAAAGUGACACUGUAUCUUCCCUGCUGAUUUCUUGGAUCUUUUGUGACCUACCUGGGUGCUGUGACAUAGCUGUACUUUUGCGAAAGCGGCACGAGUAGCAGUCCCAGCUGCAACAGUUGGAAAUGCUAUUGCUUUUUGCACAUUGGGGCUCAAGAUUAAAGUUGUCUCGGUGAUAGCUUUAGCUGUUUAAAAUAUUUACUCUUAUUAUGCUUCUAUUGUGCAACAGCGAGACAUUGUGUCUGUCAAAUGCUCCCUGCACUUGCUGCCUGAAAGAAUGACAUAGCCUUAGGAAAUUACGGGGAGACUAAAAAAAGAGAAGUGCUUAUGCUGGCUGGGAGGGCUCGCCUGCCAUUUGUCAGUGUCUUUGGGAGCUAGGGCUCGCUUGUGAAAAUUCCCUACAAACAAACGCUUCACCCAUGAAAAAUACCAGGUGCCUGUGACUCCUGCCCUUCCUGUUGAAGGAUUACUGGAGCUUUCUUGCUCUUUAAAUCUCAUUUAUGGUAUUGGGGCUUUAGCGUGCUUCUUCUGGGUCGAAUUUAGCCUUUAAACUUCUAAAAACUUGAUUGUCAUUGCCAUGUAACAAUAGUUUCUUCUGUGCUUAAACUUACAGGAACAAGGAAUUCCCUGGUUGUGUUCCCAACUGCUGGGCUUGGAACAGGAAGCUGCCUGUAACACUGGCACUGCUGUACUUGGUACACUCAGAUCUGAACUUCUAUGAAGCAGCAAAAUCAGAGAAUGAAGUGCUUUGUUUGGGGUGCCCUCUUGCAGGGGGCAAAGAAGCCAUUGCCUCCCCCGUGGUAGCGCGGAGUGGACCCAGAUCGUGCCAGGAGAUCCAAGAGGACUGACUCCAGAACAGUCCCUUCAUCUUCUUCGCUAUGGAAACAACAACAAACUUGAUGGGAAGAAAACAGAGAAAAAACACCAGGCACCAACAUGAAUAAAUGUUUCAUGAUCAAACAUAGUAAUGGCUGAAAAGCGUGAGAAACUCGAACGCGUAGCCCACCUGCUGGCUCGAAAGGAACUGUCCAGUCCUCCCAGGCAUUGCAUACACUGAACUUUCUCAUUACUUUGAAAGAGGACGCUGGCACUAUAAACGUCAAACACGGUUUCCAAGAGGAUUUCAGAAUUUCACUAUAAAUACAGGUUUUCUGGUCUAUGCAGAGCUUUUUUAGCCAUUUGGUGCAGGUGACCUCAGCCCUACUCAGAGGAACAGCUGCAAGGAAAACCCAGUAUCAAGUUCUAAACUUAUCUGAAGAAUAAAUACAACGUUUGGAGCUGCUCUGCCCGGACUAUUCUUGUGGAGACCAACAAACCAAAGAAAUCCAGUGCCUGGAUCGAGGUACCGUAAAUUUGUAAAGAUCUCAGGGACAAGACUUGUACAUAUGUUAAGAGGAUGCAGACAUCCUGGCUCUUGGCCUUAAACUUUUAACAACAUCCAUUCAUCAUUUUUCAAUAAAUGAGGAAUUAUCAAAGUAAAUUUACCAGGUGAUUAUUUCACUGUGUCUCAUGCUCAGAAUAAAUGCAAGAUAAUUCAUGAAGUCUGUCUACAGCCUCAGCUGCUGAUCUGAGUUCAGUUCCUGGUAACCCUGUUCUCAGAACAGAGGCUGAAAACAAAAUUGAUUAAAAUAUAUAAGUAAACAAGCAAAAACGAUGACUACUCUAAAAUAUUUAUUUACUCUUAUGUUCUUAGCAGCAAGCCUAAUGACCAAUUUUCACUGAAAAGUAUACACAGUUUUAAAACUGCAUGUGAUUAUACGUAGAAGGGUGCACAUAAAAAUAAUAUCAAAACAAACUAUUCCAGAUCUUAUUAGAUGCCAAAAAGCAAGACAGACAAAAUCUGUAACAGAAACAUCAGGAAAUGCUGCUGUUCAGGGAACAUGUCUCACCACGGGGAAAUUUUCUAGCACUUAAAUGACCUUUGGUCUCCAGGUUAAUCAGCAUUUCUGUAUGCCUCUACACAACCUUUUUCCACCUAUACAACUUAAGUAUUGAGUGUGUUUGAUACGCAUGUACGUUCUGUAUGUAGGGCUACACUCUAACAUAGCUUUUAGCCUUUUAGUGGACUAACUGCUUGCACGUUUGCCCUGAGGUAACAAGAACAGGUUGAAACCGGACAGAAUAUGUUCUAAUAUAAACCAGAAUGUCCGAUCGUUUUCUUUUUUUUUUUUUGUGAAAUCAGACGUCUGAUCAAGAUGCUCUUCCGUUCUAUUGUUAUGCGAAUGAACUCUGAUGAAAAGUACUUCCACAAGCAUUGGUUUCCAUGACGAAUAAUGCCUUGGGUAUUUUUUUGUAUACAUGCUCUUACCUCUGUUAAUUAGGCAUCUCUUCCUUCUCUGCUGGAGUCCUAACUGGACGCUAAAAAGAAAUAGAUGCAAUUAAUGACUAGUCAUGUACAUAUCAGCAAUAAAUUAGGCCAGUACAGAACAUCAUUCAAAGUUGAAUAUUUCACAGAAUACAUACAUGAGUCACUUUUGUGUGUUUUCCUUCAAAUAUGAGUGCAGCGCAUGUCCCUGGGAGCAGAGGAGUAAUAGAGCAUCCACAAAAAUAGGUUCCAAAUGAAGUGCUGGUUUGGGAAAUGUCUGCUUAGACACCACCUGCACACUGGAGUGGAGUCAACUGUUGAAUAAGCAGUCUGCUAGCAGCUUGGACUGACGACAAGGUGCUGAUGAAGGCUGAGGAUCAAAGCCAAGUGUCGGGGACAGCAAACUUAAUCAAUGAACUGACAGUUUGUGAAAGUUCAGUAGUGCUCUUCUGGUGUUUUUUGGAUGAAGCUGAGGAAGAGAUUUGGUCUUUGGCAGCUGGUUGAGCAAACUUAAUUAAACUUUACUGUCUGCUUUACUGUAAUAGGCAUCUAAAAAGCUGGAAAUCACAAUCUGGAAGAAGAAAUUCUGCUGGAGGUUGCUUUUACUGGAGUGAUGGCUGGCUGUACGCAGUGUCUUACAGGAGUGGGUCUGUAUUAAACAGUCCAUAGCAACAGGUGGUGAAGUUGUUGUUUCUUGGACAUGAAGGCCACUUUCAGUGACAGAGAGACGCCAUUAAUGAUCAGCUGUCUAAGUACCUACUGAUUAACAGCUAACAGCUCAGCUAUUAAAUAUUUUUCAGUCCUGUGAAAAUUUUUCCCCCGUGAAAUUUCAGUGGAAAAAGCCCUUUGCCUUUCUCAGCAGACCACCUACUGUGCCAGUCUUGACAAGGAGCUGGAGACUGAAUUGCCUGUUCCCCCCAUAGGUGUCACUGGAGGACUAAGCAUCUGAUGUGCUUCCUGAGACCUACCUUCAUUUAAAACUAUCAUCUAAGUUACUGACUACUUUUUUUUUAAUGGCUAAUAUUUGCAUAAUGUAGUACUAGCCUUCUGAAGUCCACCUGAGUUAUAGUUCAUCUUCCGUGGCCCCUGUCCUACUCAUUACCCAGCAGUGAAGCAGUGAGUUACUGCCUGUUUGGAUGAGGAAUAUGCAAUAGUAAGAUUCAGUAAUACAAUGCAAGCUAUAUCCCUAACACAAGACCAAGUUCCAGGUUCCACAGAGAUCAGCUAUGAAGAGAUAUUUAUCUAACUAACUAUAGGCAAUUCUUAAAGCACCUUAUGCAGUUUUUGCAGUCUUGUACUUAUUUUUAGAAGCUGGAUGACUAAAUCUGUGGGACGUGGCACAUAAGGUGCCAUAAUGUAACUGAACUAGAAGGCAGAUUUUUCAAUCUCGUUUUCAGAAACAGCUAAGCAAUGCUCAUAGAGGUAGUUCACAUGUCUAAAAGAUGCAGAUAGGCAUUCUGUAGGUUUUUAAAAAAUGGGUGUGUGCCACAAAAUAGGGAUGCUAAAUGCCUGUAAAGGCCUCACUUGUCUGCUAGCUUUCCAAAUCAGAUAUGAGCCUAACUUACAGAUGAAGUUUCCCAUAGGCAACAGGCUACUUCUAGUUCAGCACUACAGCACUUUCAGGAAAGCUGGCAAGGAAAACCCUAAGUAACCCCCAAUAUUCUUGGCUGCUCACAUUUGAAAAUGGAGCCUUGGUCCCCAAAUCAAGGAUGUGUUUUCAUUAAAUUUUAAUAAAGCUUUAUUGUUGUAGAGCUGAUGGCUGACUUACUUAUAUCCCUCAUUGGAAAAAAGAUAUUAAAUGCCUAUGGACAAGACCAUAUAUGUAGUAUACAGUAACGAGAUGAAUUAGUGUCUGUACUUUUCCACAAAUGAACAUUCUACAUUCUUAGUGCUUAUUUAGUUGUCCUUAAAAUAGUUUCUCUGGUAGAAAUUUCACUCAGAGUGACAGAACUUCCUUUUUGUUUCAAAAUCUUUUUUUUUAAUGUACAUGCUAUUAAAUCCUAUAUUAAACUGUUGCAAAAUGAGACGUGGACUUCAAGAUAUCAUCAAACGCUAUAAUAGAAGACUGAACUUACUGCUGCUCUCAUUAAUAACUUUCAUUACAGUGGAAGCAAGAUCAAACUUAUCGAGAAACUAAAAAUUAUGUUCCUUACUUAUUUAUAGCAUAUAUUUUCUUCUCUCAUUAAAAAUCAAAUUCCUUUUCUAA